RNAcentral lists this ribosomal RNA (445 nucleotides) under bacterium AB2025. Its description in RNAcentral is "bacterial SSU rRNA". It matches the Rfam family "Bacterial small subunit ribosomal RNA", at positions 28 to 460 of the family's 1533-position model. The record is from RNAcentral.
GAUGAACGCUGGCGGCGUGCUUAACACAUGCAAGUCGAACGGGGUUUAAGAAGGAAGCUUGCUUUCAUUUUAAACCUAGUGGCGGACGGGUGAGUAACGCGUGAGGAACCUGCCCUUCAGUGGGGAACAACAACUAGAAAUGGUUGCUAAUACCGCAUAAUGUCGGAGAGCCGCAUGACAUUCCGACCAAAGGAUUUAUUCGCUGAAGGAUGGCCUCGCGUCCGAUUAGGCAGUUGGUGAGGUAACGGCCCACCAAACCUACGAUCGGUAGCCGAACUGAGAGGUUGAUCGGCCACAUUGGGACUGAGACACGGCCCAGACUCCUACGGGAGGCAGCAGUGGGGAAUAUUGGGCAAUGGGCGAAAGCCUGACCCAGCAACGCCGCGUGAAGGAUGACGGUCUUCGGAUUGUAAACUUCUUUAAUUGGGGAAGAACAAAAUGACUA